This is a long non-coding RNA of Pyrus x bretschneideri (Chinese white pear), 1909 nucleotides long. RefSeq lists it as uncharacterized. The transcript is spliced from 5 exons. The record is from RefSeq and is a predicted model, not a curated record. Lineage: Eukaryota; Viridiplantae; Streptophyta; Magnoliopsida; Rosales; Rosaceae.
CAUUUCUUUCUCACAUCUUUCUCACAGAUCUCUCUUCUGCUAUUCUCGGGCUUACUAAAUCUCGCCUUCGAUUCCAACAAGUGCGAUCAAUCUUGCCCCUCAAUUCCCUUUACCUUUCUGUUGCCUUCUCUCUUUCGCCGUCGAUCUCUGCUUCGAUCCGUCUUCUCUCUCACAAAUCUUUGCUUCUGUCCCCUUCGAACCUUUUCUGGGGUGAAUAUGGUCCUCGCCACCGGAAGAUCCACGUCGCACGUCAAGAACAUCGCUCAAGCCCUAAUUUACAAGGCAGGUUUUUGAUAAAAUUCACCUUCACAUACUGACUAAAAACAUAUAAAGGCUGUUGGUGAUUGGUAUAAAGACAAAAUAAAAAAGGGUUUGGUGGUUGUACUUUUGAACUGCACAGGGUUGAGAAAGAAAAAAAAAAAAAAAAAGACAAUUUUGUUGGCAAUCAAUAUAAAGACAGAAUCCAAAAGGUAUUCUUGGAUGAUAUCAUUUGGUUUCAAUUUGUGACCUGUGAUUUGCAAUAUGGAUUAAUAAUCUCAAAAAAAAUUAUUCGUUAUUUUCUUCUUUUCGUAUAUAUUUUUUUUUCCAUGAUUGAUUUUGAAUAAAUUAACAUUUGUUUCUGAUGUAAGUGGCAAUUUAUAAUAGAUCGUCCCGUGUUUCUUUUUAGGCUUAACUUUUGUUAAUUAAAAUGUUGUUUCAUAACAGGUUUGACCCCAAUUUUGUCGUUGCGUUAUAACAAUGUGAUUCUAGCUUGCACAAACUACGAGGUUUGACCCCAAUUUUUUCGUUGCGUUAUAACAAUGUAAUUCUUGCUUGCACAAACUACAAGGUAUGCUCCAACCUAUUCUUUAACCAACAUUAUAGAAUCCAUUUUCUGUUGAAAAUUUUGAAUAUUCUGUGAUGGAAAAAGUUAUGAUAAAUUGCAAGGUAUAAAUUCUUUUAUGAGUUCUUCAGCUGAUUUGGGGCAUGUUUCUUUGCGAGCUUAAUUUCAUCUGGAAACAAAUAGUGUUUAGAAUCACCAAGUCGUACAAAAAGUAUUUUAAAUUGUUUUUUAACCAAUCUACUGCCAACUUUUCCAACGGGUUUCUUAUUUUAUUUUCCAUUAUUUUGCAAGAAACCAAAGCCUUUCCAUGAUCAAGAGUUAAUGUGUGCUUAAGAAUUAAUCUGUUUUGUUUGAUCAUUAUGUUAUAAUACUAUAUGUGGUUGCAAGUUUGAAAAAUGUAAGGAGACAGAUCAGUUAUAAACGAAUUAGCAUGGUUCAUCCUAAUGCUUUAUAAGUUAAGUUCCCGAUUUCUUUCCUCAUUUCUUCAUUAGUGAUUUGUAUUUUCAGUGACUUUUCAUUCUUGGGUAAUAAGUUUUUGUCAAGAGUAAUUGUGUUCAAUUCUUUCUUUUUUUUUUUUUUUUUUUAAAUUUAUGUUCUGUCUAGUUCUGUGUCAUGUGAUUGGAGUGUCAUAUGAUUAGAGGUUCCAAAAGAGAAACAUUACUUCUUUUAUUUGGUCAGACGAGGGGUGAGGAAGUUCUGUUCAAUUUUGGUUUUUCCGAUGGCUUAGGAAGAAAUUAUGUCACUAUUAAUAUUGCAGGUGUCCAACUUGCAAAAAUUACAAGUUAUGCUACAAUCUAUACUUCUUAGGUAGAUUUGAUUCAAAUUGAUAUAUUUCAGUGAGAAAAAAAAAAUUAUCUUUUCUUUUAGUUAAGAACUCUUAGAACUUCAAAUUUGUAAAAGAUGUGAAUAUUAGAACAAUGGCAAUAGAACCACUUUUAUCUUUUCUUUCAGUUAAGAACACUUAGGAUUUCAAAUUUGUAAAACAUGUGAAUAUUAGAACAAUGGCAAUACAACCGCCAAUCCAUAUGAUUGUAAACAGAUUUCAACAUAUAUCUAAAUAGUAUGACAUAUCAUAUGUAUUUAGCA